UGUCGUGAGAGCCGGUGAGACAUUACGCAUGAUGGCAAUGGGGUGUUUUGCUUUGUCGUGGGGUGGGGUGUGACAACAGAAUGGUUUAGAAGGAGGGGGAGGAGGAGGUGAUGGUGACGUGUAAUGUGGUGCUGAAAGGGUAGGAAGGUGUUUUCAUGAUAGUGGAGCAUGAGGAGAAGGUGAGGCUGGUGGGUGCUGGAGAAGGAUGGUUCUGGUGGACCAAUUUGGAAUUGAUUACUUCAACAUUUGGAAUCGAUUCCAUAUUUUCUCUUUAGUACAAAAUGUAAUGGAAUCGAUUACAUGAUUUUGGAAUUGAUUUGACUUGGUCAUUUCAAAAAUGAUAGUGGACAAAUAUGACAUUUUGACAUAAUUCAUUGCAAAUAUGAGCACUUCCAUGGGUUAGAAGAAAGGAAUGCAUCUCGCAAUUCCUUGCUCUCCCCUCUUCACAUAUCUGUUGAAGCAAACAUCACAACUCUUGUAAAUCAUCCUCGCCAUUCUUCGUAAACAGGGAAAUCACCUAAUGUGAAUACAAUCUAAAAGAAAAUACUAACUGACCUCUUUUUGUUUAUGAAGGAACCAUGACAUUAAGAAUGGAAGAAAGAUAAGAUGACAAAAAAAAUUAGAAAGUUCAAAACACAAAGAACUUUAUCUGUUAUCUUGUUUGUCCAUUCAUUUGCAUAUUCAAAUCCAUUCUUUUAGUAUGAAAACAAGCUUAGAAAUGUAUGCACGUGAAUUAUCUUGUUUGACUAUCUCUAAGCAACUUAUGGAUAAUCAAAGUCAUGCUUAUAGUUUGAUUGUUUACUUGGGAAAUAUUCUUUUGAUCUUCUUUGAGCAUUGCAUCUUUAAUUUAAAAUUGUUUAAUGAUAUUUGUAGGUGGGUAUUUUACCCUGGAGGCAAAUCUCCAAAUCUUUGAUAAUAAGAUAUUGGUCUCUUCAAGGAUCUAAAUCUCAUUUUAGUAGAAUCUCUAUUUUGGAUUAUUUUAUAUUUGUGUAUUUGAUUUAUGUUUGUGUUUGUGUGUAUGAUCUUUUAGAAUUUGGGUUGAAUUCUUUCCAAAUAGGGGAUAAUGAUAAGGAAUCUUCAAGUGGUACGAAUUUGAGAACUGAUCCUCUUUAAUAAGGAGAAUAUGAUAGAUGACUAUCUCCUGAACAUGUAUGAGAAGAACUUAAAGAAGAAUAUUUAUAAUUCAAAGAAUCUAGGACAAGGUUAAAGAUCAAAACAUGUCUCUUUAAAUCUUAUAAUAUUUCAUGAAGGAGGAAACUUAAAGAACAUGAAAAUCAUGAGCAUAAUUAAGAAUAAUUUAGGAAAUUAAAUAAAUUUUAAUUUUACAAAAUAUUAAAUUCGCUAGCCGAGCCAGCUUGUGAUCGUUGGCUGAGUUUGCCUCGAUAGGCGAAAUUUCACGUUUGUAAUUUUUAUUUUUUGUUAUUUUUAUGGUUUUAGGCUUUAUUUUAGGGUUUCUAGGUUUUCUUAUACUUACAUGCCUAUAUAUAGAGGUACCAAAAUUUUAUGUAGACACUUUUGAGUCAUAACAUAUGCAUUUGCAGUUUUGAGAGAGAAUUCUCUUGGUUCUUGGAUUAGAACUCUGAUUCUUAUCAAAGAUUAACAUAUCUUUGUCACGAAUCUUUGUUUGACUUAAUAUGCUAGAUUGUGGCGUCCUUAUUCCUAUCUUAUUUUGCAUUCUUAUCUAAUUUAUUUUUGUUAUGAGUCUUGAGGAUUCAAAUUCAUAAAAGAUCAUACUCUUUCCUAGACAAGAUUGUAUCACUUAACAUUCAUUUAUCAUUUUCAAAAUAUAUUAGAAUUUGAAUGAAAUAUCAGUUUUUGUAAGAUUUUAGUGUAUUGAGAGUUUAAUAUGUUUUAUUAGAUUAAAUGUUGAUGUUCCUUGUAAAUAUGAUUUAAUAUAAUUUUUAGUAUUAAUUAUAAAAUUUUGAUGUGUUAUAUAUGUGACUAAAACGCUACCCUGUGUAAUUCUUCCAACAUGGAAACAAUUGCAUGAGGUAAGAGACUUCAAGAAGAAGUAAGACAAGCCAAUUUUAGAGCUACUGUAGCAUAUCAUAAAGCAGCUAGUACUAAUAAGAGUCAUGUUACAACUAAUGCAACAACAUUAGAGGGUUUAGUUAAAACAAAAAGAAAUACACUAUGAUGAAAGAAGAAAUGAUGUUGAUCAAGUGACGCCUUACUAUUGGAAAGACAGAUUGGCCACCUGCAUCCACAUCAAGAUCAAGACUUGGAUGAUUAAGUGUCUCUUGAACAUGGACUUCAUGAGGUAAAUCACAUUAUAUAUUAUAUAUGCUUUCAUCUUUUGCUAUGUCAUAACAUUUCCAGUACUAAUGUUAAAGUUCACUAUCACUAGUACAAAAGUAGUAUACAACGUCGAAUAUUUUGGGUUUUUAACUACGAAUUCGUGAAUGACGUCUUAUCAAGAGACGUUAAAUUGACGUUAAAUUUUAAAAAAAUUCGACGUUAAACAUCGAAUUUUGUCCAUAUACGACGUUAACUUAACGUCAAAUUUUGUCAAUAUACGACGUUAAUAUAUAUUUUUUUCAUUAUUUUUAAUUAAUUGUGAUCCUUUUUUACAACUCUAUGGGACCUGAAAAAUAGAAAAAUAAGAAAUUUCAGUUUUUGGUAUUUUAUAAAGCAUGAACUAUGAAAUCAACAACAAACAACAAUAACCAACAACAAAAAAGUUCAAUCAAACAACAACAACAAACAAAUUCAACCAAACAACAACAAUAAACAAAUUCAGCAGAAAAAAAAGAACAAACAAGUUCAACAAAUAAGUUCUUCAAAACGAAAUCGAAAACGAAAGCUAACCUUCAAAAAAUGGGUUCACGGAAUAAAGUGUCAUCACUCGUGAGAGAGAAAGCAAAAUGUGCCUAUGAAGACAAGAGCACGAAAAUAAUCGAUCAAAAACAAUCAUAUGUAAAGUAGUUAAUUAACAUGCAUUUGUAUCAAAUGAGAGAUGACGUGUGAUGGUCGUCAAACUUCGUUCCAGAAAUGUUUUCGGAAGGGAAGAGGAUAUAGCGUGCUAAAAUAAAGUGAAUGAAAUCCAAAAUAACAUGAUAUUUGAGAGACUAAAAAUAUAUUUAAUCCAUAGAAUUAUCUUUGUAAAUUUGAAAUAAAAAAUAAUAAGUAAAAGAAAAAUAAAUUUAACAAAGAAAUAUAUUAAAAUAUAAAAGAGAAUAAUGAGAUGAAAGUAAGGAACUUUGUAAUUUAUGAACUAAAAGCUAUUCCGAUGUGUUAAAUAGAUAUUUGUAGUAUAAAAAAAAAUAUCGACACACAUAAAAUUUUUACAUUUAUUUGAUAUUAUUCUUUUUUAUUUUUUUAAAAAAAAUAUAAAACUUUAUACUUUUAUAAUUAUUUUACUUUUAUAUUCUGUGUCAAAUGAAUGUAAGAGUGUAUUAUAAUAUCACUACUCAUAAAAAAAAAGUGAAAAAUUAUAUAUAAAGAGUAACUUGAAUUGAUAAUUGUUAAUGGUAAUAGAAAAGGUUUUAGGAUUAAUAUGAGUGGAUGGAAAUCCCCAUCCAUAUAAGGACAGUAAAGAAUGAUUCUGAAAACAGUGAUGUGGUCCAAAUAGAAGAAUGAGAAAAGUGAUUGGGUUGAUGAUGCUGAUUUUGCCUUUGGAUGAAUACAUAGACAUAUGAAUUUGAGGAAGAAGCAUAUAAACAAUCAAUCCCUCUCUCACCUUUCAUUGUCACCAUCCACUCACUGUGAUCUCAUACUUCUCCUUCCCUCUGCUCUUCAUCAUAUAUGCAACUUCUCUUUUAUCAGUGGGCCACAAACUUUUCAAUUAUUUCCCAAAUCCUAUCAGCUUUUCUUCUAGGGCAACAAUUAUAUCACAUUCUAACACACAAAACUCCACAACAUACAACUGGCUUAUUAAACAUUCUUUAUUAUUUUCUCUAAAAAGAGCAAACAGACAACACUUUCUUCUCUCUUUUCUUCUCUACUGCUUCACAUUCUCAUCACACUCUCAUACCCUUCGACCAAACUACCUAACACACCAGUGCUUGCCGGUUAAGUACAUCUUUCAUUGUAUCUCCUCUCGCGAUGGCUUUUGAUAUCACGAUAGAAGUGAACUUUUAAUUUAACUUAACUCUACAAAAUCAUCUGAAGUUUACACCAACUUAUAUAUUAUGAAUUAGUCUUAUUCCAUGUAUGACGUCCAACCAUAGGUUUUCAACAUUUACAUACAUUUUAGUAAUUUUAAACUUAAUUUAACCUCGUUAUGUUAUUAAUGUAACCUGUCUAACAAAUUUCGUAAACUUCUCCGUUGAAAAGUAAAAGAAUGCAGUUUUAUUUCAUGUAGUUCAUACAUAGUUGAGUCUAAUAUCUAAAAUAAAACCAAUAGGUAAAUUAAGUUUCAAAUUAUUUAAAUGGUUAAUUAAAUGAAAUAGGUAGAAAGAAGUGAGUCUAAUUAAGGUUAAUUGCAUGUGUUUUGUGACAGUCACGAUUGCAGCUAUGUGCUUGGCCUGCAUUAUGGUCCACUAUUCUUUUCUGAUACAGUAACUUGAAAACAAAUACACCUAUCUUCAUCCUUCAUCCCUCUGAAACGUUUUGUUUUCAUUAUUAAAGAUCAAACAUGCAGAAGGUUGACAGACAUAGAAUAAGUGAACAUCAUCUCCUCCUUCACAAAUUAAACAAACCAGAUCCAUUACCAUGUCAGUCCAAAUGCUGGUUUUUUCACUUCCAAAUAAAAAAAUAAAAUAAAAUAAAAUAAAAAUACCAAAAUUAACGAAAAAAUUUACAUGCAAUUUAUGCAGAUUAACACAGAUCUGUUGGAUAUGAAUCAGGAGAAAAGAAAUCUAAAAUUUUAAAGAAAAUUGAAGGAGAAAACAUGUAUGUUGGAGCAAAAUCUGGAAAAAGAAUGCAACAGUGAUUGUGCAGAAUGAGAGAGAAAUUGAAGCAGAUCAUCUCAGUUAUUUUCCACAACUUUCUUGAAUUGUGGUGAUAAAAACUCUGUUGUAUUGAAGAUCUUCUUCCUUCAUUGGAGAAGCCUCAAACAAAACACAGUUCAAGAAAGCUGUGGAAGAUCACCAAAAAGAUCAUUCAUCACAAAGUGAGAUCCUUUCUAUGAAAUAGUUUUCUAAGAAUGAAGCAAGAGGAGAGAGAAGAAUGAGAGUGAAUGAGAAAAAUAGAGGUUUCAAUGUGUAUUUAUAUAUAUGUGAGGUGAGAGAAAUUUCAUUAUGUAAUUCAAUGACAGAGAGGAAUUCUUGGCCUUAUUUGUACAGAAAUUUAAAAUGCUUUAUUGCCAAUAAAAAACAUUUAAGAAUUUAUUAAUGAGAUAGGCUACAAAAAUUUGAAAAAGAAAUAAAUAUUUCGAAAUAAAAGCCAUUGUUAGAGUUACUAGACAUCAUGAAAGUUUGUGAAGUAAGACUUUUUGUGAAAAAUAUUUUUUUUCCUUAAAAUAGAUUAUAAAAUUUUAAUAAGUAUCUUAGGACAAUAGUUGAAGAAUUAAAAAAAAUAUUUAAAAUACUAUAAAAAUUUUGAAACUAGGUUUAAAUUCAUUUUUUAUCCAUAAAUUUUAUGAAUGCAAUUUUCAUACAAUAAAAUUUUAAUUGCAUAUUUAGAUAAAAAAAAUUAUUUUUUUAAUUAUUGUCUAAUACUAAUAUAUUAUCUAAUUGUACAUAAAAUAUAUCAGACAUGCAUUUCAUUCGUUAUAAUAACAAUAUUAAUUACUUAAUUCAUGAAAAUUAAUAACGAUCAUAAAACUCCAUCUGUUUCUUAAUAUAUGAAUAUAAAGGUGUGGUUACACAAAUCAAUAAAAACAUAACUUUCAUAAUUUUUAAUAAUUUUUUUUUAAUUUUUUGAACAAUAAUCUUUUUAUUUUCUUAAAAUACGUUCUUAAUCUUUAAAUUUAUAUAUAAAAUUGGAAUAUUGGCAUGUGACGAUGUCUUAAAUUUUCAUAUAUUUUGAUUUCUAAAUUUAGAAAAUAAUAAUAUACAUCAUUAAUUUUUUAUAUUAAACUUAAAAAAUGAAUAAAAACUUUAUUAAUGAUCCUUGAAAUCGAGAUGACCAUAAUUUACUCCAUCAAAUCAAACAAAUAAAAGAGAGGAAAGAACAUAUCACAUUCCAUUAUAUUUCAAAUAAAGGAUAUAAAGUAAUUCUUUUACUCUUGAUUGUCUCAUCUUAUAUAUAUAUAUAUAUAUAUAUAUAUAUAUAUAUAUAUAUAUAUAUAUAUAUAUAUAUAUAUAUAUAUAUUAAAUUUUUUAUUCAAUUAAAGUUUUUAAAAAUACCUUCUUAAUACACUAAUAAUACUACUAUCAAUUAUUUUUAAUAAUAAAUGAAACCUACAAAUUAAUUUGAUUUUAUCAACAAAGGGUUGGGUGAGUAUUAGAUAUAUUAUUAAAUAUUACUAUAUAUGACUAGUUUGAGUUUGAACUAAAUUUUGACAUUAUGUUAAAAAGUGAAAUUUAAAGUCAACUCAAUCCUAAGAUUUAUAGUGAGGUUUGAACUUAUAUGCGAAAAUUGAUUUUAUAUCUAACCAAUGUGAAACUAACAAAUUUCUCACAUCUGGAGCAUGAAAGUAAAUAUUAAUGGAUAGUCCGAUAGUUGUGGAAUAGUAAUAGAUUCAACAAAUACCAAAUAUCACUAAGAUAAAUUCUAACCCAUAACUCUAAUACCAUGAUAAAAUAAAAGAGAAAAAAACAUAGAAUAAAUUACUAAUGUGUAUUGAACACAUAGGAUUAUGCAUUUAUGAAUAGAAAAAUGAAUAAAGAUGGGCCUAAGUCCAUCACAUGUAAAGCUAUCCCAUAAUAUUAUGACUAAUAAUAUCUUAGCUAUAUCUAACGGACAAAUAUCUUAAAACAAUUUGUAUUAAAAAAUGAAAUAUAAAAAUAAACGUAGAAGAAUAUUAAUAAUAAAUUUAAAAGGUUAAAAGAUAAAUGGUUUGUUAGUCACAUAUAAAAUUGUUAAAAUAAGCAUUUGGUCCACAAGUAAACCCAUAAAUUAUAUUUAAUACAAGUUAAUUUGAUUUUAUUAACAUAUAGUUAAGAUGUAAAAUUUAAAUCUAACUCAAUCUUUAACAUUUGUAAUGUGAGGUUUACAAGCAUUUACAAAGUAUAAAUUAGUUUUAUCUCAAAUCAAUGUGAAACUUUCAAUAAAUCUCUCACAUCAACACAUAUACAUUUAAAGUGUGAGAGUAAACAUUAAUAAGUGGUUUAAUAGUAGCCCAAAAUAGACCUAGCAAAAAAUAAACAUUACUAAGAUAAGUUGUAAUCCAUAACUCUAACAUGAUAUUAAAAUAAAAGAGAAAGACAUAGGAUGAAUUCCUAAAUAUAUAUUACAUACAUAAGGUUAUAUAUUUAUGAUAGAAAAAUAAGGCCUAAAUCCAUUAUUUAAAAUUAACACAUAAUAUUGUAACUAGUAAUAUCUUAACUAUACAAAAAGAUAUCUCCAAAUAACUUAUAUUAAAAAAAUCAAAUGUAUGUGUAUUGAACAUGUAGGAUUAUGCAUUAUGAAUAGAAAAAUGAAAAGAGAUGGACAUAAGCUCAUCACAUUUUAAACUAUCACAUAAUAUUAUAACUAAUAAUAUUUUAGCUAUAUCUAACCGACAAGUAUCUCAAAAUAAUUUAUACCAAAAAAUUAAAUAUAAAAAUAAACGUAGAAGAAUAUUAUAAUAAAUUUAAAACGUUAAAAGAUAACUGGUUUGCCACCUGUGGAAUUGUUAAAAUAAGUGUUUGCUUUCUCAGAAAAUAUAUUAAUUAUAUUUAUUACAAGUUAAUUUGAUUUUAUCAAUACAAAAUGUAUGGUGAGUAUUUUGUAUAAUUAAGAUAUUAUUAAAUACUAUUAUAUGGUUAGUUACAAUAUUAUGAAUUAGAACCAAACUCUAUCUAUUAUCAUCAUGUUAAGAAAAAUUAUAUCUAACUCAAUUUUAAUAUUUGUGAUGUGAAGUUUAUACAUUUUUAUAUAUUAUAAAUUAAUUUUAUCUCUAAUAAAAUACGAUACUUUUAAAAAAUCUCUACAUACAUAUAAUGACCUAAUUAACAAACAAUAACAUUACUAAAAUAAGUUAGAUAAGUUGUAAUCUAUAAAUAUGAUACUAUAUAAAAUAAAGAAAAAAACACAUAAAACACAUUCCUAGUAUAUAUUAAAUUAUGUAUUUAUUAUAGAAAAAAAGAAACCUAAAUUCAUUUAUUUUAAAACUGACAAUUAAUAUUAUAACUAAUAAUAUCUUAACUAUAUAGUAAGAUAUCCCCAAACAUCUUAUAUUAAAAAAAUCAAAUAUAAAAUAUAUGGAAAAAUAUUGAUAAUAAAUUUAAAAGGUUAAAAGAGAAAUAGUUUGCUAUUUACAUAUGGAACUGUUAAAAUAAAUGUUUGGUCCACCAAAAAUAAAAAUAAAGUAUCAGAUUAUAUUUAUAAGAGCAAUACAGUUACUAUAUAUUUUUUUUGACUAGUUUACAAGUUAAUUUGAUCAACACGAUGUUUGGUGAGUACCUUAAAAUAACUUAUUUUAAUAGCUUUUAGUUCAAAAAUUACAAAGUUGGUUACUUUCAUCCAGUGUUAUUUUCAUUACUCUCUUUUAUAUUUUAAUAUAUUUCUUUGUUAAAUUUAUUUUUCUUUUAGUUAUUAUUUUUUAUUUCAAAUUUACAAAUAGAAUUAUAUGAAUUAAAUAUAUUUUUAGCCUCUCAAAUAUCAUGCUAUUUUGGAUUUUGUUUCUUUUCCAAAAGUUUGUUUAUUUUUUAUUUUUUUAAGAAAGAGGAUGAAAAUGAACAAACCUUUGAAAAAGAACCGAAAUCCAAAAUAGCAUGUUUGAGAGACUAAAACCAUAUAUAUAAGAUCAGACAAUGAAGAUUAUUAUUGUAUAUCCUUUAUUUGAAUUAUAAUGGAAUGUGAUAUGUUUUUUCCUCUAUUAUGUUUGUUUAAUUUUGAAUAUGAUUUUAGUUUUAUCUCUAGUCAAUACGUUACUUUAAUAAAUCUCUCAAGUCGACAUAUUACAUCUAGAGUGUAAGAGUAGACAUUAACAAGUAGUUCAAUAAUAAUGCAAUAACAAUAGACUUAACAAACAACAAACGUUACUACAAUAAGUUGUAAUCCAUAACUCUGAUACGAUAUUAAAAUAAGAAAAAUAGACACAAAUAUCCUAAUAUAUAUAUAUAUAUAUAUAUAUAUAUAUAUAUAUAUAUAUAUAUAUAUAUUAAACAAAUAAGGUUAUGUAUUUAUUUUAGAAAAAAAAACUAUGGUGAAAAAACAACAAAUACAACUUAAAAGCAUUGCACUUGUGUGAAAAAACAAUGGAAUUGAACUGUGGUCACCCAGGUUACCACAUUUGGCUCCUACAGUUCAACUACUUGUCCAAAACCCAAAAUUCAUACUGUAAUCGUUUACCAAGCUCUUGUAAACGAUUACAAGUGUGAUUUUUGCAGCAUGGUCUUUACCAAUUUUGCUAAGUUCAUCAACUCACAAACAUUAUUUCAUUAUUCUAUCACAAACAUUAUUACUACCUCAAAUUGGCCACUUUAUUCUUUAACAUUUUGAAGAUAUCAAAAUAUAAACCAGUUCAAUAACAUAGGAAUUUAAAUUGCAAUUAUCAAUUACAUUACUUAACAGAAUCAAACAUGCAUCCUGUAUAAAUUGAAAAAAAUAGGAUACAUUACAGUCACUUGUUGAUCUAUGUACAAUGUCCCAUUACUGUCAUUUAUAAACUAAAUACAAGAAUCACUCAUUUUUUAUUCUAAGCACUACAUUUCCGGUGUACGGGGUCCUAAGCGCUUGGCUCUUGUAAAGCCUUCGUGAUCCCACCCUCACAUACAUCUUCAUAAGAGGUUGGUUGCUGGACAUUCCACCCGGGGAAAGAAAACCAUUGUUCAUGGAUGGUUCUGCAAGUGACGUACUAUGUUGACCAUCAUCUUUAUUUGUUCUUCUAGCCUUCUCUUCAACCAACUCUGCCUCCAAGAACAACCCUCCUUUUAAGUUCUUCAAUUAGAUACUAUUGCUCCUCUAGAGUACACAUAAAACUUUCUUUGCGUUUUCUUUUAAGCAUCUUUUUUUAUGUUGGUUGGUCAUCCUUCUUUUUUGGUGUUGAUUGUUUUUCCUUCUCAUCCUUCUUAUCCUUGCUUUGAAGCACCAAAAUCAACAACAACAUGAACCUGAAAUUUAACAAUAUAUAACAUAUUAUCAAACUCCAGUGAAUAUAUCAUAACAUUCACAAGUCAAACAACAAAGCAUAUAUCACACCCGUCUCCAUAACCCAUUUGACAAUGUUGUCUCCUAAAUUUUUAGUCAUUCAAUGCAAGAUUCUUGGAGAUUUCUCUAUUGCACCUUCAGGAGGAAUGAAAUGCUCAGAAAACCAUACCUAAAAAACAUGUUCUUCUUAUAAANNNNNNNNNNNNNNNNNNNNNNNNNNNNNNNNNNNNNNNNNNNNNNNNNNNNNNNNNNNNNNNNNNNNNNNNNNNNNNNNNNNNNNNNNNNNNNNNNNNNNNNNNNNNNNNNNNNNNNNNNNNNNNNNNNNNNNNNNNNNNNNNNNNNNNNNNNNNNNNNNNNNNNNNNNNNNNNNNNNNNNNNNNNNNNNNNNNNNNNNNNNNNNNNNNNNNNNNNNNNNNNNNNNNNNNNNNNNNNNNNNNNNNNNNNNNNNNNNNNNNNNNNNNNNNNNNNNNNNNNNNNNNNNNNNNNNNNNNNNNNNNNNNNNNNNNNNNNNNNNNNNNNNNNNNNNNNNNNNNNNNNNNNNNNNNNNNNNNNNNNNNNNNNNNNNNNNNNNNNNNNNNNNNNNNNNNNNNNNNNNNNNNNNNNNNNNNNNNNNNNNNNNNNNNNNNNNNNNNNNNNNNNNNNNNNNNNNNNNNNNNNNNNNNNNNNNNNNNNNNNNNNNNNNNNNNNNNNNNNNNNNNNNNNNNNNNNNNNNNNNNNNNNNNNNNNNNNNNNNNNNNNNNNNNNNNNNNNNNNNNNNNNNNNNNNNNNNNNNNNNNNNNNNNNNNNNNNNNNNNNNNNNNNNNNNNNNNNNNNNNNNNNNNNNNNNNNNNNNNNNNNNNNNNNNNNNNNNNNNNNNNNNNNNNNNNNNNNNNNNNNNNNNNNNNNNNNNNNNNNNNNNNNNNNNNNNNNNNNNNNNNNNNNNNNNNNNNNNNNNNNNNNNNNNNNNNNNNNNNNNNNNNNNNNNNNNNNNNNNNNNNNNNNNNNNNNNNNNNNNNNNNNNNNNNNNNNNNNNNNNNNNNNNNNNNNNNNNNNNNNNNNNNNNNNNNNNNNNNNNNNNNNNNNNNNNNNNNNNNNNNNNNNNNNNNNNNNNNNNNNNNNNNNNNNNNNNNNNNNNNNNNNNNNNNNNNNNNNNNNNNNNNNNNNNNNNNNNNNNNAGUAUUUCACACAUGUACUUCUACCCAUUUUGUACUUUAAGUUAUAGUUUCACCAUCUGAACUCAACCAUAAUCCUAAACAAAAAUCCUUUCAUUGAUAUUCAGAACUUUAUAUGCAAUUAGAAAACCAUUGCUGGAAUCCACCCAUUUAAACAAUAACUCAAAAUUUUCUUACUGAAUAAAACAUUAUCACUCAAAUCUAAAAACCACCCAAAUGGAGUCUUCGCAAUGACUAACGCGAUGCUCCUCUGUCAAACGUUCAUUCAAAGUACAAUAUAUUUGGUUGAAAAAGAGUGACGAACGGUCAACUGCAAAAACCAAAACAAAAUACCCAUAAUGCCAAAUCCCUAAAUCGAAAACAAGACAAAAAUAAACUCAGUAGAAGAAAACCCAUAAACCAAAACGAAAACUCAAUGACGAAAAUAGAGGAAGAACACAUUUACCUUCCUUGAAGGACCAUCCUCAUCGAACCUUGCCAUUUCGCAGAAUAUCCUCAACGAAAAAGACAUCGAUCGAAAAGAAGAGAGCGAAAUCAAAAACUAUCACGUAAACUGACAUCGACAACGAAGCUGGACAACGAGGGAGAACAACGAGGGAGAGGGACAACGAUGAUUUGCAGCAAGCCAGAUAAAGUUGGUUGCUAAUGAAACAGGGGAAGGGGUAUAUUUAGAAUCUCAAAUUUCAGAAACCUUAUUCAAUUUCCCACUCAAUUUAAAAAAAAAAAAUUAAAACGACCCAAUGGGCUGCUGGCACGUGCCGUUGUCAAAUUGGUGUUAAAAUGGUGUUGUCAAAAUCGUAAAUCUUCGCUCAAUGUUGAAUCCCGAAAUGAUUCGUAAUGUGUGUUCGAACCUCAAUCUCUUACUAACCGCAUAUACUAUUGGUGAACCCAUGGUGCUCUUCGAAUAAACAACUGAAAGUUUCCUUUCACAGCUUUAGCAAAGUAAGUUUGAUAAGCAAUUGCAACAACCAUAAAGAAGCAUUCGGAUUGGGAUUCUGCUACUUCAAAAUUAAGGCUGACUUUUUCCACAAGUGGUUAUUCCGUGUUCGUUCUGAUUAGUUAAUUUUUAUUUCUGCAUUGUAGUUCAUUGGUCAUUGUUUUGUAAAUAUUUCUCUCUUAAAUUGUCAUAUUUUAGCAGCGCUAAAGGGAUCCUAAAGGGUUUGCGUUAUCAGUGAGAUAAAAUUGACCCUACAACACCUUUAAAGGACCAUUUAUGUGUUUGAUGUAAUUUCAUUACAAAACAGAUCCAUAAUUUUGUUCUUGUGAGGAAAUUACAAGACCUUGGAUUCAAGCUACUACCAAGUCAGAGAGUAUAUGCCUACCUAUCUAAGUUUUUGAUGUUCUAUUACCCUUUUGUACCGUCCAAAUUUACUCUGAGAUUACCACCAGCUGCCAACUCUGCCUGCUAUGCAUCCAAAGUCCCUACAAGAGCUUACAACAAUGCCACUUACUUACUGUUUCCCACACUAUUCCACUGCACUAUACAUUUACCGACUAUGGAUAUGAUGUUCAGACCCAUAGGUAGUGUAUAUCAGUUGUACCCUAUAAUCCUCUUACCUAUGCAUAUAUCAGUUGUUUUGCCUUCAUAUAUUGAUGGUACUAUAAUAAAACCAAACCCUUACCGUGUGGGAAGUGGUAUGAUGCUUCUUAUGAGUCCAAAUCAACCAUCAAAAUACAAAAUUAGUUGCCUUUUCAAUUUUCUUCUUCAAGGUCAAUGUGCAUCAUUGUCAAAUGGAGUUGUUUCAUUCAAUCAUGAGUUCUAGAUAGGCCUUUUAUAGUUAUCUAUUGAAGUUGCUGCAAAGUGCAUAUCUAUAUAUGUGUAAAAUGAAGGUUUAAUAGUUUCUUUGGUCCCCACUUUCGUUGCCUAAUCUCAAUUCAGUCCCUAGUUUUUAAAGUGUGUGGAAUAUGUUCACACUUAGUAAAUUUGUGUCAAAUUUGUCCCUUCCGUUAAGUCUCACCAGAGGGAGUUAAUAGAUUGACGAUUUGCCAUCAUAGAGUGCUUACAUGUCAUUAUUCCUUGGAGGGGUCACACUAAGUGACUCAUUUUGCCCUUUCUCUUCAUCCCUUAUCACACUCAAGCUUAAAAAUUCUGUUUUUCUCUCCAUCGCAGAGGCGCAAAGAAGGUGCGGCGAGAGCACGACGAAAGCUUCUGCGUUUCGUGGAGAGGGCAUCCGCGUGUUGUGGCGAUGGUUUUGUUUGGGGAUUUUUGGGUUCUCUGUUGUCACGUAAAGCUAGCGUUUUGGGGUGGAUGAUUUGGUUCCCUAUUAUGUAGGUUUUGAUUUGUGGCGCCAUCCUCCUCCUCUUCUGAAAUUGCAAUUAGGGUUUUGAUUUGUUUUCUGGUUUGGGGGUUUUCGUUCUAGAUUAUGCAAUUUAGGGUUUCUGUGAUUGCAAAUCGUUCUUGCAAUAUGGGUUUUGAAAUUGGGGUUUCAUUUUCCUCUUCUAUUUUGGAGGUUUUUGUUCUGAUAUCUCAGUUUUGUCAUUUGCGAGGUAGGGGUUCAUUCCAAAAUGAUUUUUAUGGUUUCUGGUCUUGUAAUCUUGAUCUUGCAAUUCUUGUUCUUGUUGGGGUUGAAGAUGGAGUGGCCAUGGGGUUUUUGCCUAAGAAAUCAACUUUACGGUGGUUGUCUGGGUUGCGGUAGGAGAAACACUAUUUAGGGCUUUCAAAUUUUGGGUUUCUUUCCUAAUUUUUCUUGGGUUAAGAUUCUAUUUCUUCUUGAUUUUUCUCUUGGGUUUCUUUCAAAUUUUGGGUUUCUUUCCAGAUUUCUCUCUUGCAAUUCUAUUUCUUCUAUUUCUUCUUUCCUGAUUUUGGAGUUAGGGUUCUGCAUUUAGGGUUUUUAUUUCUCACGUUUUUGGGUUCUGGUUGACGAUGGUGAUGAAGUUUGCGACAAUGGGGAAGAUGGGUGCGGCCAAUGGGUGCUGCGAUGGCUCCGACAAGGUUGGACUGUGGUUGACCCUAUCUGAAUAAAACACAUAUAUUAUGUAAGUCACUUACACGUUAGCACACACAAAAUAAUAUAUUGACAAGUUGCCAAUAACUGGUGCCAGAUCAUCGACCCACUAACUCCGUUUGGUGAGACUUAACGGAAGGGACAAACUUGACAUAACUUUUAAUAAGUAUGGACAUAUUUCACACACUUUUAAAAAUGGGGACUGAAUUGAGAUUAGGCAACAAAAGUGGGGACCAAAGAAACUAUUAAACCUAAAAUGAAAGGCAUAUAUAUAUAUAUAGUUUUAGUUGAGGUCAUGAUUGUUGACUCUGUAGCAGUUGGGUUCCAAUCAGGAUGAUGAGCUCUGAAUAGCCCAACAAGGCCAGAAACAUGAGAACAAGACGGUGAACUGCCAGUCAAUGAAGGAUUUAUUCGUGUGUCAGAUUGUAGACUUGUAGGAGAUAUAACAUCAAUAUAACACACAAGGUGGCUGAAAUAGAAAGCAAAAGUUAUAAUUAUGAUAAUUUAUUAUCAUAUAUUAUCUUUUAGGUUAAAAUCCUUUUUUUAUCCAAGUUUUGUAAACUUUAACUUUUAGAGGUAAAUCUAUUAAUAAAUUAAUUUCUUUAUGUAGUUUGCGACUUUAAUAAAUAUGUUUUUUCAUUUCAAUGUUAAUAUUUGAUUUCUAUGUUUAAUGCUUAUUGUAGCUUGAACACUCAUGGUUUGAUCGUGGUUCUUGAGAUAUUGAAAAAUGUCUCUUAAUCCUAAAAAUGAAAUUAAAUACUGAAUAAAAAUUGUGUCUAGAGAUAAAACUUUCUUUAUUAGUAAUGUUAAAACUUCUUAAAUUUAAUGCAUGAUUUCAUUGGUUGAUUGAUGGAAACCCAUUGAGGGCAUUCCAUUCAAAGGAGUAUCAACUAAAGCUAAGGCUAAGAAAGGGAAGUGAAGAAGGACUUUUAAAAGCUCUUUCUUGAUUUUCUUUUUCUAAGUCUUAGAAGGAUUCUCUUUAAUAUGUUCAUAUGUGUUUUGUAGGUCUAAUAAAGCUAGGAGAUCAUGGAUCAACUAGAUGACUUAGCAUGGACCAAACCAACCCAAGAAGAAGGAUAAAGAAGUCAUUUUACACAAAGGGAGGGGGUGAGCUUAGUAAUGAAGGGGUUGCAUCAUGAAAACACAUGACUCCCACGUUGGUGUGAGUCUUUUGCAACAUCACAAGCAAAUGAUACGUGAUUUGGCUGAAGCAUUUGUUGCACCUCUACCGUUGCCAUCUGCAUCAUUAAUAGUAUAGGUCUUCCACUAUAAAUAUGAGAUGUAUUGGCAUAUGAAAUCACUUUUGGAUGUAAUGAAAUGCUGCAGAAUUGCUUGCUCAGCCUCUUAUAUCCCUUAGUCACCUCUGAAUUUGGAAUUCAGAUACUCUCCUCUAGCUUCCUUCCUUAGUAGGAAGGCCGUCUGAGCUUGGAGGCAUCAUACACACACCACACCUUCAUCCAAACUUUCAUCAAACACCUUCUAUGAAUCAUCCAUUUCACUGCACCAAUUCACAUUCCAUUGCAUCUCUGUUUUGGAGCUUCUUCUUGCGUGCUUUAUGCUAGGAGAGGAUUCCAUCAUUGAUGAUCUAAGAGUUUAGACUUUAACGAGUUAUCAUAGGUCCAAAGUCUCUAAGGGUUGAAUUUUAGUGUAUUUGUGAAUUGAUUUUAACAUAAAAUAAAAAUUAAGAUAUUUAUGAAGUAAAUUAAAUUUAGUCUUGACAAUUUAAAUAUUUAAUGUUAAAUAUUUGUUGUGGAUCAAUUAUUUAAUAAAAAUAAAAAAGUUUAGUUGUGUUUUUGAGGAUUUUGCUAUUUAAUUAAAUCCUGAAUUACAGGAGUUCUAGAUUCUUGCACAAGUUUAUUUAAAAAAUGAUAUUUGGAUUUUUUUUUACUUUAUUUUUUGUACACUUUUUAAAAUCUUAACACUUGUAAAUAUAAAAUCUAAUAUAGAAUGAAACAAAAGUAAUAUCUAAAAAAAGUUGUGCAAAAUAGAGACGGAAGGUAUUAAACGAAAUAUUAAGAUUGUAGGGUAAUUUAACAAAAUUUUGUUACUAAUUACAUUGAGUUUAAACAAAAUUUCCAACAUAUUGAGUUACGAAUUACACUGAUAACUUAAGAUUACAUAUCUAUUUUCAUGAACUGCAUUUCUUGUCUUGUGACUAUUUUUACUAUUUUUAUUAAAAUAUGGUGAUACGUGAAGACAAAAUGUUGUAUUAAUCCUAAACAAUCAAACAUUAUAUUUAAAUCAUUCAAAAACUAAACAUUAUUUGGUUAAAUUUGAAAAAAAAUUAUAAACACUCCCCAGCCUUCUAUAAUCAAGGAAGAAAAAGUGCAAAUUGCAUUGGUGCAAUGAGAUUUCUAGAUAUUACACAUAAUGUAGCGAAUUGGUAUAAGAAUAGCAAUGUUCGUAUCUCUCUGGUUUUUAUUCCUUCCAAUAUUCUUCUUCAUUCUCAUAAUUUUAAAAUCUUAAAACACUUUUAAUUUACUAUGUAAUAUGAAAGACUUCUAUCAAUUUUUUUUCCUUAAUUUUAUAAUUUAUUUUUAGGGUACGUAUUUAAUAAUUUUUACUCUUUUAUAUAAUUAUUUGACUUUUAUUUAAGUGUUAGUUGAUAUUUUUAUAAUUUUUUUUCUUAAUAUUCGAUAUUAGAAAAAAAAUAUGGGCAUCAUUUUAAUGUUGAAUACUUGACAAAAGGUGUUUUCUUUGUUUAGAUUUUUCUAUAUGAUUUGAUAUUUAUUUAAUUAUUAUUUGACACUGUUAUCAAAUUUAAAUAAUAUUAUUUCUUUAUUGAUAGUUGAAAUUUAAUUAAUUAUGCUCUAUCGUCAUCUUAAUUAUAAGAAAGAUAUAAUUUUAAUUCUUUAACUAAAUUAAAGCUGUCAAAACGGGUAACCCGGCUCGACCUGGUCCAAUCCAUUACGAGUUGGGCACUUAGUGAGUCAAUCCAAUCCAGCUCAUUUAUUAGUGAGUCAAAAAAAUCUGAAUCCGGCUCGACCCACCAACGGAUUGGCUCACUAGCCAAUUUAAUUACAAUUUUGUUUUUUAAAUAAAAAAUUACAAACUUUCUAUAUUCAAAUUUAAAAAAAUUUCACUCCAAAAAAAUGUGAUGUUAAACUAAAGACAAUUCAAAAUAAUAAUAAAAAGUACAAUAUAAUUCAAAUGUCAUCCAAAAACAAACACAAAAAAUAUACAAAAAAAACCUGUUAAAGAAUUCCAGUGAAGAAGUUAGAGUGACAGUAAAUGAGAGCAAGUUCCGUGAGAGCAAUUUGUGAUAACGUUACUUUUUUGGUAUACGAGUGAAGAGAAUAUUUUAUUUUUUAGAGUUUCAUAAAUAAAAUAAUAAAUUAAAAAAAUAAAAUUAGGUAGGUAGAUUGAGAGGCCAACCCAAUCUACUACAGGUUCAACUCACAUGAAUCAGGUUUAAAUAAGCCGAAUUGAAAUGUGACCUGCAUAUUUAUUUUUUCAAAUCCAACCUGACUGAAGCGACAGCGAACCUAUAUUAGCUCGCUCGCAAGUUGUGACGUAGCUCUGACUAAUUCCGUGGCUGCCGUUAAAUAGUUGAAGAAGGUUUGUCAUAAAUUUGCAACAUGACAAAAGUAUAGCACAUUAUAAAGCAGAGAAAGAUUUGCAGCUAUUUCAUCAUUCUAUUGUGGAGAUGACACUAGGAAAAUGAAAGGGACAACAAUAUAAUGGUGGGUUCUUCCCGUCUAUUUUACAUUUCUAUUGUGUAGAUAUUUCUUCUCACAUAUCACUUUCAUCAAACUUUAUGUUUCUUUAUUUUUCUUCAAAAUAAUUUUAAUGUUUAUUUUUAGUUUUGCACAAUAUUUUCUGGUAGGAGACAUAUGUCCAUUAUGUGAUAUAGGAGUUAAACUCCCUGUGUAGUUCAAUAGGUAUAUCAUUUCAUAAAGUUAUUAUUUCUUUAAACUAUAUCAAAAUUGAUUUUAAGUAUAACUCAUAACUAUAUAUAUAUAUAUAUAUAUAUAUAUAUAUAUAUAUAUAAUAUCAUUUUGAUGUUUUUUUUCUUUCAAUUUUACCUUUUUAAUUCUUAUUUUUUAAAUUUAAAUAAUUAUUCAUGAUAAAAAAAAUAUUUUUCAAUUUUAUCAUUUUAGUAACUAUGAAUUCAAAUAAUUACUCAUUAUAAAAAAUUAUUUACUCUUUUAUCAUUUUAGUAAUUAUUUUUUAAAAUUUAAAUAAUUACCCUUAAUAAUAUUUUUUAUACAGUAUUACUUAAAAUAUUUUUUAUUUCAAUAAUAAAAAUUUAUUUUAUCUAUAAUUAUAUCUAUGUGGGUUCUAGGUUGAAUUGGUAUAAAAAAAAUUUCUGCUUAUUUACCAAAUUGUUAUCGUGUCAUUUAUUAUACCUGUUAAAUUAUAACUAAUAUUAAAAGUGGUUAUAAAAAAAUAUUUUUAUAUUAGUAUUUGGUAGAAAAAGAGUCUAAAAAUAACUGGAUAUUGUAAGGUUCAAAUCCUAUAAAGUAUCAUUUUAGUAUUGGGAUUUUGAUAAUUAGUGAUAGUUUUAUGGAUAAUAAUACUAUAUAUAAUAUAUUGGUUUCUUGAUAAUUAAUGAUACUUUUAAGGAUAAUGAUACUAAAUGGUAAUAUUAAGGGAUCAUUAUUCUUUUUAGCAUCAUUGUAACAUGUUUUAAUUUUGAGUUUUAUUGUAUCAUGUUAUUCUGACCAUAAUUGUUUUUAUUCCAAUACACAAGUCUUAAUAGAUAUACUUUUCAAAUUCCUUUCAACUAGUAAAAAAAUUUAUUUUAAAAUGAAAAACAAUAUUUUCUUUCAACUUUAUAAUCAUGAUUUUUUUUAUGUUAUAAAAAUGACUUAGUAAUAAAAGCACUUUUAUAAUAAUGAUAGUAAUAAUAAUAAUAGUAACAAUUGUCAUUCGUAAUAAUAUUUAUAAUUUUAGAUGAUAAUAUGACAAUACAGACCGAAAAUGAGUGGUAAUAAUAAAGAUAACAAUUUUGUAAAUAUUGUAAUAGUUGGAACAUUGAGAUAAAUCGAGCUAUUGCGUAAUAUAACGUAUGAUUGAAUUUUUAUUAUAUUUAUGAUGAAUUGUUUUACAACCAGCUUAUAAUUGUUUUUCAAUCGUUUCAACGUGAGGUUGAGAGUGAAUCAACCACAUAGAUAAGGUGUUCUUGUUGUCCAAGUGUAAUAGAUAUUUUUUUAUUAUAGUUUCUGAUAGGUUGUCAUCUAUGUAAUUUUCUAUCUUGGUAGUUUUAUUUUACUAAAAUAAGAUAUUACAAUAUUAACUUUAUUUAAAUUCAUAUUUUACAUUAAAUUUUAUUUUAUUUUUAUUUUAAAAUUUUAAGUUUAUUUAUUUUAAAUCAUUAUAAAAUUGUUUUAAAAUUUUAUAUUUAAAUUUAUAGAAUUUUUAUUUUUAAAUCAACUAUAACAUUUGUACAUAAAUUAUUGAUAUAUAAAUAUUUAAAAUAAAAUUUAAUAUAAAAUAUAAAUAUAGAUGAACUUAGUUUUGUUAAAAAUAUUUAAUAAAGAUAUUAACUAUAAUAAAAAAUAUCAUUAUAAUUUAUAUAAAAAUUAAAUUUAAUCUUUAAAUAAAGAUAGAAUUGUUUUAUUUUAAAAUAAAUCGAAAAAUAAAUUAAAAUAAAAUAAAAAAUAUAGUAAUGAAAUUGAAAUUGUUUACAUAAUAUUUAUUUCAAGAAUAAUACAUAACAUUGACACUUUUACAUAUGAGAUGUUAUAUAUUUACUAUUUUACUUUUUAAUAUAUAUUUUUUAAAAUAUAAAAAAUAAUUUUUUAAUAAGAAAAAUAUCCUUAAAAGCAUAUUCUAUAGUAAAAGGAAAAAAAAAAAAACAUAUUUAUAAUUGUUAAAAGUAAGGCUUUCACAAUGAUAGAGGGUCUUAGCCACUAUAUAUAUGAAUGCACAUGCAUGCCAGGUAAGAGCUCUCUCUUUCAUCUGCUUUCAGUUUUCCUGUCUACAGCCACUUAAUUUCUGGAAUGCUCUAUAAGGUUUUUGGAACUAUAGUUUAGAGAAUAUAAGACGUGUGGCAUAACAAGUUACAUCAAACAAGCAAUGAAACAUGGUGGGUCUAACCCUAAUUAUGACUUCUCACACCCAACACUACAAAACUCUAUUUUACCCUAAAUUCUUUUAUCUCUUUUUUAAAGGCUAAAACAUUUUUUAUUUAUCAUCUCUCAUUUAUGUCAUAAAGAUCCACACUAUAUAUUAUAUGCUGCAAUUUCAUUUUACAUAAAGAAAGGUAUUCCUCAUAUCUUUUCAUGAACAUGCAGGGAUCUGUCUGUGGGAUCCAACUUCACUUGCAUGCAAAUAUGUCAGCUCAUAUUAUUUAUAUAUUUUCAAUGAAAUUAUCUUUUCUCCUCUUACUUCUCUUUUCAUUCUUCUUAGUUACUAAGCAAAAUUAAGGAAUUGUUUGCUAUAAAUUAAAAUUAUAUUUAUAUAUUAAUUUUUUAUUAUAAUUAAUAAUUAAAAUUUAAUUAGUAAAAUGUGAAGACCUGGAAAAUAAAAAGGGGUUAUUGGGUCUUAUGUUAAACAGCUCACCCCAUAAACUAAGGACAAUAUAGCCUUGGGAGAAGACUUCUCAGGAGUUUGAUUCACUUUUGCUCAAACCCUUCCCCUCUCUAGAAUUCAGAGUUUCUAUUUUUUUAUGCCUUCUCUCUAAUCCUACUCCAUCUUCUCUCUACCCUUUCUCAAAUUCCUACUGUUGCAUUUUCAAACAGGUUUUGCCCCCAUGUUCCUGGAGUUAAGAACUUCCUUUUCUACCAAUUAGUUUCUCCAUCUCAUCCCGGUAAGCGAUUCUACCUUAUUUCUCCGCUAUUUGGGAACCUAGGGCAUGCAACUUUUCUGGUUGCAUGUAGCUAGUGGGUCUUUCCUUCGACAUUCCUAUCCUUCCUAGCUCUAAGCACUGCUUCUAUCACCCAUUUGGUGAUCUAUAGGAUUCUGUUGAGCUUGCCUAGGAGUUGUACUAUGUGGGCUAACAGGUAAGGAGAGCUAAUUAUUUUGUUUGAAUUUAUUUUAUAAAAUGUAUGCAUGUUAAGUUCUGAACUUGUGCGAUGAUUUCAACUGUGAUGUAUCUGUUGAGCAUGAACUGGGCUGUACAAAUGAUGAAGCUGUGAUUGAUUUCCUGUGGUGUGUUUUGAUGAAUUUAAUUGUGGUAAAUAGGCCUGGUAAAAGUGCUUGGGGAUGGGAAUUCUGAGAUAGUACUGUUUAGAUGGGAAAUUAUGUGCUAGUUAGUGCUUUAGGUUGGUUUAAAGGAAGUGGGAUCAAGAAAUUAAGCAAUUGUGGUUUGGAGUGGGUUUGGAGUGGUGAGACAAUUUAGAGGGAAAAUUUGGGCUUGUGGAGAGCACUUUGUUGGUAGGAUAGAGGAAUCUUAAAAACCAAAGUUGGUGCAUCAUUGAUCCUAAAGCAGCCCUAACCUGGUCCAACAAGUUGUGACUAGUCAUAUGCACCAGCGCUUAUGGUGAGUUUGAUGCAUCAAACAUUUGAUUCUUCUCCGAUGACCAAUUGGGAUGGUAAGGAGUGUUUGGGAGAGGUAAGAUCUCCAUUGUAAUAGUAAUCAGAUAGACAAUUUAGUAAUUAGGAAACAUUUUAGUUGUUUGAAAGGAAGUGAGAAGGGGAUUUUGAGCAGUUGGGGUAUUGGGUACAAGACAAUUGUGACUUGUUCCAAUCAUAAAAUUGGCCUAAUAUAUAACAAGAAUGGUAGAAUUGAAUUCGGAGUCCUAAGUUAUAGAAUUUGAGGUUUUAGAACUGAAUUCAAGUCUAAAUCACUUUAGAAUCACUGUAUACUAGUUAAAAUUAACAUGGACAAGUUUAAAUAGGUUUGUAUCACGAAUUUAGGGUAUUAGAAGUUUGAUUGAAGGGUUGGAAUUGGUUGGAGGGGUGUGAGUUGCAUGAUUUUGCAGAACUGACGUUCUGCAGAUCAUGCAGACUCGCUAUGCGGAUUAUUUCGCAUAGCGAGUCCAUGUAGGGGAGUGCUCUCUGCUAGGAUUAAAUCGCAAGGCGAAUGAGGUAGGUGCGCUAUGCGAAUUACUGCGUUUUCGUUGUGCGAAUACACUGCGCUAUGCGAAGGGUCAAAGUUUUUGCUUUGUUUGUCCUCUAUUCAUGUUUGAUUAAGUGAUAAGUACUUUGCUUGUGGAUCAUGGUUAAAGGUAUAUGGCCUUAUCUUUGGAACUUUAACAUGUAUAUGUUGGUUGUGAUUCAAAAGUAUGUGGAUUGAGAUAUGAGUUCAAGGUUGUUCAUGGUAUGUUUCAAAGUAUCGAGUCUCUUGGUGAGAUUCUUAGUGUUUAGAAUGAAAGUUGGAGCUCAUUCAUGGGGGUUUUCUUGAUGCUCCAAUAGCCUUUCUUCUCACGUAGAGAGGAUUAGACCAUGUCGUGAGGAGUAGCAGGAGGUCUUAGUCUUAGAGGCUUCCAGUAUGCUCCAAGGCGCGGAACAGACUAACCUCAUGAAUGUGGCAGGGUGGGAAACCCAAGUAUCAUAAGCCACCACGGGUGCAUGACCCGCCAUAGCUCAACUCUCAUUCUAAAGUCCGGAUGAGUCAGGUCUAGACUUUAACAUGUUAGGAUGGAUGUUUUACUUUGGUUUGAUUUAAGUUAACUCUUGUAUGUAUAUGCUCCUAUGUUGUAUGCUUUUUAUAUAAUUAGCUCACCCUUACUUGCUUAUGUUUGUGACAUUUUUGCGUAUGUUUUCUUUUGCGAUGAUCAUCCACUUGGAUGUGAGCAGAGGAAAAUGAGGUUCCCUGGAAGACAACUUUGGAAGAAGAUGACAAUGUUGCAGUCUAGCCCACUAGGCUUCACUUAUCUUGGCCUAUGUUAGUUUGAGGAACUCUAUUGUGUUAAAAGUUUUAAAUUCCUAACAUUUUGAAGCAGGACUAUAGUACUCUAGUUUUGAAUUUUAGUAUCGUUCUAAGAAUGACUGUAAUCCUAAAUAUUUUAGAUUGCUUCUCUAACUGCUUUCUAGUAUUAUGCAUGAUGACGUCUUAAUUAUAUACAUCUUUAUCAUAUAUUUGGGAUGUCACAAUAAAUAUAAUAAUCUAAAUUAAAAUAAUAUAAUAUAGAAAAAAUAAAUUUUUUCUAUAUUUUUUAAAAUUAUUUUUAGUUUUAAUUUUUAAUUUUAAAGAAAAAAAUUACCAGACUAGGUGGUGUCCCGACUUCGUCUAGUGUCCCGACUUCGUCUAGACACUUUCGUAGUUAGACAAAAUAGAUCUAAUCAAACUAAAAAAUAUAGAAAAAAUUUAUUUUUUCUAUAUUUUUUUAAAAUAAUUUUUAGUUUUAAUUUUUAAUUUUAAAGAAAAAAAUUACCAGACCAAAUGGUGUCCCAACUUCGCCUAGACACUUUCGUAGUUAGACAAAAUAGACCUAAUCAAACUAAAAAAUUAAAAACCACGAUCAAUCUACUAAAUUCUGAACAUAAUUUAUUAAAAAAAUAUUUGUUUCAUGUAAAUAAAGUCUUUAAGUUUUUGUAAAAGCUAUUUUCUAGUUACUUUUCUAUUUUUUCAAUUUGUUAAUAAAUAUCUACAAUAGCAUGUUUUGGAAGGUUUAUUAAAUCUAUGAAGGGCAUUACCGAAGGCCACAAACCCUCGGAAAACUCCAUAAACCGUCGAUAAAGACCCAUUACCAAGGGCCCGGCGACGGUCAGAAAGCCCUCGGUAAAUAUGUUGUCGCUAUUUUUACCGAGGGCUUUUGACCCUCGAUAAUUAUCGAAGGCUUUCGCCCUUCGGUAAUUACCGAUGGCUUUCGCCCUUCGGUAAUUACCGAUGGCUUUCGCCCUUUGGUAAUUACCGAAGGCUUGUGCCCUUCGGUAAAGCCUUCGGUUUGGUGCAGGGAAAAAUGAGUUGUAUUUGUUUUUCUUGUCCAACCACAAGUACCUGCAAUGUAAUGUUCACAACAUACACAGACCUGCAUAACAGUUUCAAUCCACAAACAAACCUGCCUAUAUAUUGUCCAUCCCAAAAUCUUCCGUUCAUUGAUGAAAAAUCAUAAAGUACUAACAUUAUCAUCAUAAUGUAUUGACAUCCAAUAUGUUCUAACAAUAUCAUAAUAGCAAUAUCAUCCAAUUCUAAGCAAAAAUAAAUGUACCAAUAUCAUAAUAUACUAACAUCUAAAUGUACUAACAUCACUAUGAUCAAUAACAAAAUGAAACUAAAAUUGUACAAAGUCUUCAGACAUAUCUUCAUCGUCUUGCUCAUCUGUAGAUGGUUGGACUGGUGUGGGCUGGACUGAUAUGGACUGAUGAGGGACGGCGGGUGACGGGGAGGGUCGUGGCUGGGUCGGAGGGACAGUGGAAGGAGUGUCUGAAGUUUGAGGCAGCGCUCUCAUGACCAGGGACUUGAAGCUUGAAAACUCGUCUCUCAAGUCAGUAUAUUCUUCUCUCAAUGCACGGUUUUCUUGGUCAUGUUGCUCUAGUAGCUGUGUCAAGCGCUGGAUGGCCUCGUCAGCAGAAGGGGUGGAAGAAGAAGAAGGUUGGUGCUUUAGUGUACCUCCUCUCGAUGCUGUAUAGUUUGCAGCAAGUUGUCCUGCACCGUAGACUCGUCCCUUUUUCUUCCCACCAACGACAUUGACCCAGUACUGUGUCCUACGGAUGUCGUCAUCUGCAUUACUCGCAUCAUCCGGUGUAGGAGCUGACCCAUGUUCGGAUCUAACCUGUAAAAGUCUCGUAGAAAAUUCUUCUUGUUGAAACAUUAAAAACAAUGUCAGGGAAUGAUACAAUAACAUAAUCAUGUGGAUUACUAAUACUAGGAGUGCUAUUUACAUGAGUCUUGCGAGAUCUUUCAUCAACGAAUUCAUUAGUGCCCUUCCGAACAUGGGUAUGUGCAAAGACCUCGUCAACAUGGACGGCCCGUCCAAGAGCUUGUGCCUGUAACAUAAUUUAGACUUAUUAGUGUAUAUGAAAUAGAAAAUACAUAAGUUAUAUAUGAAAGAAACAGAAAAGUAAAGAAAGUUUACCAUACGAAUGGCAUGCUCGUGAAUUGUGAUCGACCCGCCAGUAUGCAAGGCACCACCCUUUUCACUCGCUCUGUUCCUCUGGUUUGUAGCACUCUUCUUGCGAAACUCUACUGAAUUCCAAUGUGCAAGCAAAGAGUUCCAAAUGAUUUCGCCCAUCCAGUAAGGGCGCUCCCCUGCAAUUCGGGCAUCCCUAAACAUCUCUGAGAGCCGAUGAGAUGCUUUCAUGUGAAAAUUUCUAUGUAUUUGACUUUCAUGUUCAGCUUUCCACUGCACCUUCUUCUAUAUGGAUGAACAAAACAAACAUUGAUUAAGACAUGGUAAGAUAUGAAUGAUAAUUAGUUUAAAGUGUUGUUCACCUUAAAACGCUCCCAGAAUAUCUUUCUGUCGUCUAUAGGUAUUGCUCCCCAAGUAGGCCAUGGAGUCAAAUACUAUUGCUUAAUUGAUCGUGUGAUGGCCUGGGAAGCAACCCUGGAUGGAAUAAACCUUCAUAUAAAGAAAUAAAAGUUAUUUCAAAUAAGACAAUGUUUAAAACAUCAAUCAAAGUUAUAAAAGGGAUUAAAGUCUUACCCUUUUCCAUAUGGCUCAAUUCAUGGUCGAUCAUGGAGGAGCGGGUCAACAUCAUCACCAUCACAAUCUGCAUCUGGAUCAGUAAAUGGUGUGGCAGUCUCAGAAGGCGGUCUAGAAGAUGAGGAAGGUAUAGAAGUAGGGUCAGGGGGAGGAAAAGGCUCUUCUGCAGGGGUAGGAGGAGAAAGGUGUACAGUAAGAGUAGAGGGAGGGUGUACAGUAUGAGUAGGGGGAGGGUGUACUGUAUGAGUAGGGGGAGGGUGUACUGUAUGAGUAGGGGGAGGGUGUACUGCAGGAGUGGGAGGAGGAGGGUGUACUGCAGGGGUAGGAGGAGGGGGGUGUAUAAUAUGAGUAGGGGGAGGGUGUACUGCAGGAGUAAGGGAAGGGUGUACUGCAGGACCAAUUAUCACUUUAAAAGGUCACUUUUUAGGUACUUAAAGGUCAAAUAUCGAGUUUGUCCUUAUUCUUUGCUUUUCACCACUUUCCUACCUUUAUUAGACUAAGUUAGACUUGUUAGGAUGUUUACAUACCUUAGAAUAAGUCUACAUUAGGUGAAUUGACCAAUUAUCACUUUAAAAGGUCACUUUUUAGGUACUUAAGAGUCAAAUUUCGAGUUUUACCUUAUUCUUUGCUUUUCACCACUUUCCUACCUUCAUUAGACUAAGUUAGACUUGUUAGGAUGUUUACAUACCUUAGAAUAAGUAUACAUUAGGUGAAUUGACCAAUUAUCACUUUAAAAGUUCACUUUUUAGGUACUUAAGAGUCAAAUUUCGAGUUUGACCUUAUUCUUUGCUUUUCACCACUUUCCUAUCUUUAUUAGACUAAGUUAGACUAGUUAGGAUGUUUAUAUACCUUAGAAUAAGUCUACAUUAGGUGAGUUGACCAAUUAUCACUUUAAACGCUCACUUUUUAGGUACUUAAAAAGUGAUGACUGAAAAUGUGUUUGUGCACAAAGGAUGGAUAAUGACCAUUUAAAGAGUGCUCACAAGUUUGUAAUGACACAAUACACGUGCACAAAUGUUCCAAAACCACAAAAGCACACAAAAUGACUCUAAAAGUUGCCAAAAUAUGCAGAAAAUUUCUCCAAACUGCACCAGGAAAUUGUUGCUGAAAAAAGGGGAAACAUGAAUGGCCAAAAUGAGUGGUAUUCUGUUUAAAGCUCAAAUGAAACAUCCAGCACAUUUAUAUUAUGAGAUUGAAUAUGUGCAAUCACUUUGGCAACAAAGAUAUCAAACACAUCGGAAUCCACUGGUUCACUUGCAAUUUUCAAGCAAAAUUGGUGGUUUAAAUAGUGAUUUUGUGCAUUGAUUGGAAAAUGACUAAAAGAACAGUGCACAUAGCUUCCAAAUGGAAAAAUACACUUGCUCAAAUGUAAAGAAUGCACUAAAACAUCCAGAUGCAACAAAUCACAGCAGCUGUAGUCAAUUAUGCAACACUUUUAAACUAAAAUUUGUACCAAAAUUUAUAUACUCAAUUGGAAUCAAACUGGACAGCAUAAAUAAAACUCAUGGAAUUCCUAAUUGACUACAUCUAACUAUAGAAUAAUAGCUAGGAGAUGUAAAAUGGCCUAAGACACAUCAAGGAUUCAAAGGAAGGAUGAGGAAGAGAUAGAGAAUUGGAAGGAUGGAGAUAAGUCUUAAGAAUCCUUUAGGUAUUGUAGAAGAUAUGUAAUAACAGUAGUAGAGACAUGAGAUUGUUGUCAGACACACCUUCAUGAACAUCACAAUUUCAUCAUCCGUUCUUUUUUAUUCUUUUCUUCCUUGAAUCUAGGUGGUGGAAUGUUUCUGAAAUGUCACGGGAAAUUAGGAAUGAUGUUGAUUCAAUUCCAAUUUUUAACUCCUUGAUAACUUAUUUCUAGAUUAUGGAUGAGGAUGAGUAUAUCGAGCUAAAGCAAAUUGAGAUGGGUAGUUGAUUUAAUAAAUGAAAUUGAAUGAAGUAAUUUUUGAAACAGAGUUCAAUUCUAAAUAUUACUUGAUUGUCAUGAAACGAAAGUGAAUAUGCCUAUAGCAUAUCUUACAACAAUAAGUUCCUUACUAUGGCAGCAUUCCCUCCUAAUCUUUGUCUCCAAUUUAAUUGCUCAUUGGUUUGUACAGACUAAAUCUCUCUUAUAGACAAUGUGCAAGCUGGCAUUUUUAGAAACUGCCUCAUUUCUCAUCAUAUAUGGCUCCAUCUCACUCUUUCAUCACUUACACACUCAUUCUCUUUAUGCUUCUAUCCACUAAUUCAAUCAUAACAGGUAUGUUAUCAAGCAUGAACAUUUACUUUUACCUUGAAUAAGAUAUUAUUGGUGAAAACUAUAUAAUAUAUAAUACAGUGUUUGCAAGAUAAUAAUUGAAGCCAAUAUCAAUUAUAUACAUAUAUAAUAUCAAUGUUGACUAAUGCUAAGUUAUGAAAGAUCCAUUCUGUCAAAGUUGUUUGAUUUUGAUACAAUGGAACCAAAAUUGCACAUCUAACAAAUUAUGGCCAACUCAAUUUACAGUUCCCAUUACUAAACUCAUCAGAAAGAACAGGGGAAUCAACUAACCUCAAAAGCUAAAUGCUUGACGAUGCCACACUCUGCAGACCACCAGCCCUACGUCGUCCUGAAGCCAACCUCCACGACCCACCACCACUGGCGCAAACGCGAGCCACCACGACCCACCACCCUGUCGCAAACGUCACGAAGCCUACCCACCCAAACUGCAAACCACCAGCCACCACCGAACACACCUCACCGUCAGAACCCUUACACUAGAACGACUUAUGGCAAGCAAAUUCUACCUCCCAAGAACACAAUCAACUUCUGAUGGCAAUCGCGAGAGAGACGAGGACAGGGGAUUUCUGAAAUUGGGGGUAUGGGAUUUCUGAAAUUGGAGGAAGGAAACCCAAUUUUUUACUUAAGUAUAUCGUGGACAUUACCGAGGGCUGAAAGUCCUCAGUAAAUUAUUUCACCAAAUUUUUACUGAAGGGCAACAGGUCGCCGGUAAAUACCACUCGGUAAUUAGCGUAUUUACUGUAGUGGGUUUGGCUAUAGAGCAAGUAGCUCUGAUAUCAUAUUAAGUGAGAUUAAGCCUAACUCAACCCCACAAAACCAGCUUGUAAAGUGAAAUUUGUACCUCACUCAUAUAUUAUAAAUUAGCCUUAUCUCUAGUCGAUGUGAGACUUUCAACAUUUUUAUUAUAUAUUUUUACUAGAUACUUAAAUCUUAAUUAAAUUUUUUGUUCUCUGCAUUUCAUUUACUUUUCAAUAAUUACAAUUUUACUUUAAUAUUAAUUUUAAAAAAAUGUACACAAAUCUAAUUUUUCUUGUUUUAAAAUCACAUAUAAAAUGAAAUUGAGGGAAUAAUUAAUUCCAACAAUUCAAUUUUCUACUCUCUGCAUUUCAUUUACUUCAAUAAUUACAAUUUUAUUAUAAUAAAAAUUUAAAUAAAUAUUUACACAAAUCUAUUUUUUCUUUUUUUAAAAUCACAUAUAAAAUGAAAUUGAAAGAAUAAUUAAUUCAAUGAUUAUAUUUAAUAUUUUGUGAUAAUUGGACAGACUAUUUGACAUUUGUAAUUGUCCUUUUUAUUUUAUAUUUUUUUAUAAUUCGUUUAUUUAUUUAGCUUUUAUUUUUUUAGAUUCACGUGCCAAAUCACCAAUCCAGAGGACUGUAUAUACCAAUUAUUAUGCUGACCCAUUUAUUUUGUUGGUCCAAUUCAUUUAUUUUCAAGAUUGAGUUUCUACAAGUCAAACUAAAUUAUUAUGAACACUAUUUUCUUAACCUAUGGAUUAUUUACGGUGGAUAUUCGAAACCUUUAUAAAACAAACAAAAUAGUAUUCACCAUCGCAAGUGUAAUCUAUUUCAUUAGCAAAUUAAUAUUACUAAAAUUCGAGUUCUUGACAUAAUUUACUAUCUUUUUUACAACUUAUCGAUAUGAAUACUUUAUUUAAGCAUUUCUGGUUAUGCUGUCGUCACUUCAUCUACACAAUUUCUCCUGAACGUCUGGUCGUAUCCUUCAGUUCUGGUUGUGCUGUCGUCAUUCCAUCUACACAAUUCUUUCUUAACGUCCGCUUGUAUCCUCUGUCUUCUCCUGACUGCUCACUCAGGUCGCUCCUGAUAGGUCUAGAACUUCCUUCAACCACACAUGAUUGGGUACCUGCUAAUGAGGCUUCGACGCUCAAGUCAGUGAAUGGUCAAAGGGUAGAGAUAGAAAAAGAAAGUAAAUACUAAGAGUAAAUGUGCAUUCAACGUAACCAACUAUCCUUAACUUUUGACCUGUAUUUAUAGUUUUUACCAUGGACCUGUGAUUAAUGAGAUCUUAAUCACAGCUCAAUGGCCCAAUAUUACUAAUCGUGUUUUACCUUACUCUAAUUCUAAAUGUUAUCAGCUACUUUGACUAAAUGGUCUCUCCUGAAAUAUCAAUUUAGUCGGUCAAACUUGCAUUAUUAUUGGUUAUCUCGGAUAAUAAUUUUUGUAGCCCUUGUAUCAUGAACUUACAAGUCUUCCUAAGCUGUGAUUCGCCUACUGGACAUUCUUGACCAGUCCGUCCGGCUCAUAUGAUACAAGCAUGCAUCAAAUAUAUAAUAGAAAUGUUAUUUAAGAAUAUAUACUUGUUCAUAAUACAUUUUAGUUCGUCCCCACGUAUCUUUAUUUGAUCACAUAUUUGUCUCCUUAUUUUUCCUUUAUUUGUUGUUAAAAUUAUGAUGAUCAUAAAAAUGUUGGAGAGAUAUAUUCAUGUUUUCCAACAUAUUUUGGAAAUAAAGUACUAUUUUUUUUUACACAAUAUUUUGGGCACGUAGUUUUACGUACUAAGAUGCUUCUGGAGAAAAAAUUAAACAAAAAUUGUCAACAUCUGGAAAGAAUCCUGCUGCAUGUAAGCACUACUCUUUUCAGCAGACAGCAGAAAAAAGUGCAGAACUGUUUGGCUAAUCAUUAGCCUAAGUUAAAAAAAUAACAAGAAUUUUUUUUUGUUAGGAAUAUAUUUAUAACAAAAUAUUAUACUUUUUAAAUGAAGAAAUGUGAGGAAUAAUAACAGGAAUUUAGAGAAAAAUAAUAGAUAAUAUUGCACUUACAUAAAUUGAUAAUACACACUUGAUUUAUUGUGAAGUAGAAUAAAUUCUGCAUAUUGGUCAUUAAGAUCUGGUUUAACAAAUCAAACGCCUCUACCUCCAACAUACCCCAAAAACAAAACUUGCAACAACAACAACAACCAAAGUUCCCCAAAUAUACCAACAAAGAUCAAAGGUUAUACUUACUAAGACAAACAUGUCUUUGCCAAAUUAUUAAAAUCACACAUUGCAGAAAAAAGAAGAACAGCAAAUUGAGGACACAAGUGAUGAGAUGAAGCUAGCAUGAUGAAUUCUAUGCACAUUGGAAGCCAGAAGGAACAGUUUUUUGGCAUGCACUGAGGAGCACACUGAGUGUGAUAGGGAUAUUCAAGUUGAUUCCAAGCACAUUGGCUUUGAUGGCAGUGCAGAGGCAAAGUGCAGCCUCUAGAUCAGCCAAACCCUCAAGCAAUGAACAACACUUGCUAGAGACAGGCGAGCCAACAACAACGUUAACAAGUCCUAGAAUGUCAGCACAAGCCCCUAGCUUCAGUGUGUCCUUAGGGCACUUCCCAGAUGGAGGAGGAGAAGGAGGAGGAGGAGAUUUGGGAUGGCAUGUCCCACAUGCAUAGGUUGAUGUGGAGUAGGCAAGGAGAGAAAGCAGCAAGAUGGUGGCAAUAAGCUUGUUGGAAGCCAUUGCAAGGUUGCAAAUGAAAAACAGUUUUGCAGAGUGUGGUUUGGUUUGAGUGAAUCACAAUGGGAAAGACAAGAGAUGU
Molecule: long non-coding RNA, 31465 nt
Filed under: Vigna radiata
Lineage: Eukaryota; Viridiplantae; Streptophyta; Magnoliopsida; Fabales; Fabaceae
Description: long non-coding RNA (VRAD_LNC005612)
Rfam family: Small nucleolar RNA R24 (bases 21138-21230)
Source: RNAcentral